AUGCCUUCCACAUGCAUUUACCCAGUUAAAACACAUAGAGGAGCAUAAUGGCAGAGCUGUUCAUAUACUGCAAAUCCCAUGGGUUAGCUUUAGUAAUUUCAGUAAUAAAUACACAUACCUUAUUUACACCGUCACUACCUCACGCUGUGUGAGAACACCAAAAUGAAUGUUUCUGUUUUCUCACAUUUCACUGAAGGGCAGAAGGAACUUUCAGACUGUGUCCUGCAAGACAGGCCUAGGUGUAACCGCAGCCCCAGCACACCAAGGUCCUGGAGAAGAGUACCAAGCAGCUGGAUGCAAACCGGUUUGCAGGUCCAAGACAAAAGGAUGGGAGAGAAAGAAGAAAAAAUCCACAAGAGACAACAGGAAUCACAAGCUCCAGCUUGCCAGAUGACCUGUGUUUGAUGUGUAUUACCACCGUCCUCCUCAAUAACCUCUUUCCAAUCAUAUCACUUCCUGGGAGAUGAAGAUCUUUCUAAUUAAUCAGCAAGUACGUUAAACUAAACAGUUUCUGCUCUGGUACAUUGCAGUUACAAGGAAACAGGUGGGAGAAGCACAGAGCUGUGAUUUAUUAGUGUGACAGAAUGAAGGAAAGAUUUACAUUAUAAGCUUUUUGAAAAACUGGAUGGUAAAUUUCCCUCUCCACCUCUAACUAGCCUACCAAGAUUUGGAAAGCAGAAGCCACUGUACUAAGAAUGGUCUGGGAAACAUGCAUGGCAGCUGGUAUAAACUAGACUUUUGCAAGUCUUAGUGUUAAAAUUUGUGCCAAUGUUUAUCGUUGGGUUUAACCUUCAUACUCCUCUACAUUACAUUUUUUCCCUAUUCUGCCUCUGUACAAAGCCUGAAACUGCCUUAGUUGAAUCCCACAUGCAAAAAUUACAGGACAUUGAAAGCCUAUAGGAAAAAAACCAACUCACUGCUGCCAGAGUAGAGGGCAAAUUCAGGAUAUCCUCACUACUGAGUGACUGCCAGCUGCCACUGUCUCCUUUGGAGGCUACAGGCAGCUAAGAGAACAGAGGAUCCUUCAAGCUCCUGCACUUUCUGGUAGUGGCUG
RNAcentral lists this long non-coding RNA (1054 nucleotides) under Apteryx rowi (Okarito brown kiwi). Its description in RNAcentral is "lncRNA (ENSARWG00000001468.1)". The record is from RNAcentral. Lineage: Eukaryota; Metazoa; Chordata; Aves; Apterygiformes; Apterygidae.